This is a long non-coding RNA of Spinacia oleracea (spinach), 424 nucleotides long. RefSeq lists it as uncharacterized. Lineage: Eukaryota; Viridiplantae; Streptophyta; Magnoliopsida; Caryophyllales; Amaranthaceae. The transcript is spliced from 4 exons. The record is from RefSeq and is a predicted model, not a curated record.
UCUCUCUCUCUCUCUCUUCCAGAUCUACAUGAACAAGCAUUUCUCUGCCUUCAGAUCAACAUGAACAUACAUGUAGUCCUCGAUCGACAUUUCUAACUCAACUUUCAGUUGCUAUAUAGUAAGAGACGAGUUAUCGCAAGAGGGUUAGACCUACAACAAGUCUAGGGAAUGGCACACCAACGGGUGUGUUAAAAAUUGACAAUGCAAAUGAGCUAUCAAAUUUUUGUUCCAGAAGAGUAUUUAGCUUACAGCCAUGUCAGAAGGCUUUACUGUAUUAAGUGUGCUAAAUGUGCUGAAGGAUGUGUCUGGCAGCAGUUCUUUGAAAACAAGCACUUCAAUAUAAGUUGUUCAAUUCCUUUAACGUAAACAAAUGGUAGAAGUGUGCAUAAUAUUACAAUGUUAAUGUACGGUAUAAAUAAUUAUU